GUUGGUCAGGCUGGUCUCGAACUCCUGACCUUGUAAUCCACCUGCCUUGGCUCCCAAGUGCUGGGAUUACAAGCGUGAGCCGCAGUGCUCGGCCCUUAUACACUCUGAUUAAGAGACAAUUCACUACACUGAUUUUUUUCAGAUUCAUGCCCAUUUGUCUUCUUAAAGUGAAGUUACUACCAAUGCUCCAGGAUUAUCUAACCUAGUAUAGAACAGAAUAUUAAUGUGUGUGUGUGUGCGCAUGUGUGCACGCGUGUGCUCAUGCAUGCUUUUAAUUAUAUAUUGAAGAUAUGCUAAAAUAUUUAUAAUGCCUAUCAAAGACACAAAGAAUAAUAAUAAAAUAAGCAGCUUUCCCUAUCUUAGAAGCCCUCUGCUACCCUUUUCUUAUCCCUUCAUUUUCUUUCCCACCAAUGUAACGGCUGAUAUGAAUUUUUCAUUCACUUUUCUCAUUCUUCUUUUACAGUCAUACUACAUACCAAGCACCUCUAAAGAUAUAGUUUAAUUUUACACAUUUUGGACUUCUUUAAAAAAAGAAUCAUACUGAAAAAAUGAACUCAUUGCAUGUAUUCUUAUGAAACUUCAUUUUUCAUUCAAUAAUCCUACUUGAAAUGUAUUUAUGGUGAUGCAGCUCUAUAUUUGUCUCUUUUGCCAGGUUUAAUUUUUCCCUUUUCUCCUUUGAACUAGCUUGAAAUUAUAUACUUUACUCUUUUUUCUAAUCUCUUGGUUACUCCAGAAAUUUUGACAUGUAUACUUUAAUUAAAAUUUUUAUGAUUCUCUUAAAUGAUAAAAUAUGUUCAGCAUUUUAGCUUCAGCCAUUGUUGUCUAGUAUUUAAUUAUAUCUUCCUAAACCACACAAAUUAGACAUUUUUACUACAGUCAAUGCUUACUGAAAUUCACUCACAUAUUUAUCAGUAUUUUUUUUUUACCUCUCCUUCAUGCAUCUCUGACUUUGCAUUUGGGAUUAUUUUCCUUUUGACUGGGGUUGGUUCUAUAGGAAUUCUUCUAGGGAAGAUUGUUAAAGGUUUUCCAUUUGUUUUAAUGAAAAAUGGCCUUUUGAAAUCUUUUGUAUUAAGAUGGAUUCACUGGGUUUUCAGUUCCAGGUUGACACUUGUUUUUCUUGGCACAUUGGCAACAGUUUCUCCUAUGGUCUAACAUUCACUGUUGCUGUUGGGAAGUCAUGGUAAUUGUUAUUCCUCUGGUUGCUUUUAAUAUUUUCAUGUUGUAUUGGGUGUUCUGAAAUUUCACUAAGUCUCCAGGUGUAGAUUUCUUUCUAAGUAUCCUCCUCAGUAUUUCCUGUGCUUCGUAAAUCUGAGGUUUGAGGUAAUCAGUUCUCAAGAACUUACAGCUGAUUUCUACGUUGCCUCCCUCCCAUUCAUUCUGUUUUCCUUUUCUCAGUAGACUUUCCCACUCUGGCAUGCCUCCCAACAACUUUCUCAUGAUUUCAACCUAGUUGUCUCAUUGUGCUGCCUUUUAAAUCACUUUUUCAUAACUACCUUCUAGGUCAAUAGUUUUUCCUUCAGCUAGUCUAAUCUGCACUGCAGCUAUGUUCCUUACAGAUGUUUUAUCAUUAGAUUAGACUAGCUGGCAUAGGGCAGCAGGCAUAGGCCGAGGUAAACAACCUGGAUGACUUAGCAGGUUUGUGGUGCAAGUGCACAGCCCCAUGUCUUAUAUAAUCAUAGCCAUGUAGACAUAACGUAGAAAAGCUCACCAUCUAGCUUUCAGCCACUAUUGUUUGUGUAAUGUAUAAAAGUAACACUGACCCUGUGUGAGAGCUGCUGAAUAAAGCCAUGUUUCAUCUACCUGCUGUUUCUCAAGCAUUCUUCUAGCUCCCUGCUUCAUGUCCACCCACUCUCCUCAGCCCUCAACUGGGCUUGGAACCUGAUCCUAAGCAUGAAAACAUCCACUGGUUUUUAAUUUUAAUUGUCAUCUUUUUAAUUCCUAGAUUUUUUUCUGCUUUAUUUUGAAAUAGGUUUGGUCAUUUUUAAUAGUUACUUCUUCCUUAAUCAUAUUAUCAUCCUUUUAUUUAUUUCCUGAAAUGUGUUAGACAUUCUUAGAUAAUUCCUAUAUCUAAAAGAAUUAUGAGUUGAAGUUGUUGUUUGCUAUUUGUGCUCUUCUUAUUCAUGUUGACUUGUUAUUUUAUAUAUUAUGCAUUUUUAUGGAACUUUCUUUUAAGUAUUGUCUGAGAGCUGGGUUCAUAUCAAGGAUGAUUUUUGUUUGCUUCAAGUAGCUCUCCACAGGUGUAGAGGUGGGAAA
Sapajus apella (tufted capuchin) is the source of this 2253-nucleotide long non-coding RNA. RefSeq lists it as uncharacterized. The transcript is spliced from 2 exons. The record is from RefSeq and is a predicted model, not a curated record. NCBI's taxonomy places the organism in Eukaryota, Metazoa, Chordata, Mammalia, Primates, Cebidae.